AUUGAACGCUGGCGGCAUGCCUUACACAUGCAAGUCGAACGGCAGCGGGCCUUCGGGUGCCGGCGAGUGGCGAACGGGUGAGUAAUGCAUCGGAACGUGCCAUUGAGUGGGGGAUAACGUAGCGAAAGUUGCGCUAAUACCGCAUAUUCUGUGAGCAGGAAAGCAGGGGGACCGCAAGGCCUUGCGCUCUUUGAGCGGCCGAUGUCAGAUUAGCUAGUUGGUGAGGUAAAGGCUUACCAAGGCGACGAUCUGUAGCGGGUCUGAGAGGAUGAUCCGCCACACUGGAACUGAGACACGGUCCAGACUCCUACGGGAGGCAGCAGUGGGGAAUUUUGGACAAUGGGGGGCAACCCUGAUCCAGCCAUGCCGCGUGAGUGAAGAAGGCCUCGG
RNAcentral lists this ribosomal RNA (390 nucleotides) under uncultured bacterium. RNAcentral's name for it is "bacterial SSU rRNA". It matches the Rfam family "Bacterial small subunit ribosomal RNA", at positions 30 to 420 of the family's 1533-position model. The record is from RNAcentral.